RNAcentral lists this long non-coding RNA (556 nucleotides) under Bos taurus (domestic cattle). Its description in RNAcentral is "long non-coding RNA NONBTAT012051". The record is from RNAcentral. Lineage: Eukaryota; Metazoa; Chordata; Mammalia; Artiodactyla; Bovidae.
AGCGAGCACGGAGGCCCGCCACUCACUGCCGGCUCCUUCUGCGUUUGACUUUUCUACUCGGUGAAAUGCGAGUCAGCUUCAUCCCUUCUGUUUAGGGGUGAAAAUCCGGAAGGGAAUCCUACUUUGAAAUGACUUUGGCUCUUCCGUAUACCUGAAACAGUGGCCCAGGCCAGGGCGCUCCAAACAACCUUACUCUUGUAUAAGUUCCUCACUUUUGAUAAAGGCAAAUCUUUAAACAUGAAAAUGAAUGAACAGAGGUUUGAUUAAAAAUUGAUAAGGAAAAGAAAAGCAAAACUUGAAAUCCUUUUAUACAAAAAUGAAUUCCCAAAUGAGAAAAAAAUCCUUGGACAGACUCACGCCCUGACUUUCAUUAAGGCAAGUCCCCGUCAGACUCCGCAGCCCCUGAGUUACGACAGCUGCUCCACAAACGGGACAUCCACGUAAUGGAUCAAGGCCAUUAUCUGCGAUCAAUUACCCACAUCUCUACCAUGUGUGUGCAGCCCCGCGCUGACUGCUGGUUCUAAACAUACAGUUAUAUUACAGAGCUUUUUAAAAA